AGAGUUUGAUCCUGGCUCAGAUUGAACGCUGGCGGAAUGCUUUACACAUGCAAGUCGAGCGGCAGCGCGGGGGAAACCCUGGCGGCGAGCGGCGAACGGGUGAGUAACACAUCGGAACGUACCCAUUCGUGGGGGAUAACUAUCCGAAAGGAUAGCUAAUACCGCAUAAUUCCUGAGGGGGAAAGCAGGGGAUCGCAAGACCUUGCGCGGAUGGAGCGGCCGAUGUCAGAUUAGCUAGUUGGUGGGGUAAAGGCCUACCAAGGCGACGAUCUGUAGCUGGUCUGAGAGGACGACCAGCCACACUGGAACUGAGACACGGUCCAGACUCCUACGGGAGGCAGCAGUGGGGAAUUUUGGACAAUGGGCGCAAGCCUGAUCCAGCCAUUCCGCGUGAGUGAAGAAGGCCUUCGGGUUGUAAAGCUCUUUCGGCAGGGAAGAAACGGUACGUGCUAAUACCAUGUGCUAAUGACGGUACCUGAAGAAGAAGCACCGGCUAACUACGUGCCAGCAGCCGCGGUAAUACGUAGGGUGCGAGCGUUAAUCGGAAUUACUGGGCGUAAAGCGUGCGCAGGCGGUUUUGUAAGACAGAUGUGAAAUCCCCGGGCUUAACCUGGGAACUGCGUUUGUGACUGCAAGACUCGAGUACGGCAGAGGGGGGUGGAAUUCCACGUGUAGCAGUGAAAUGCGUAGAGAUGUGGAGGAACACCGAUGGCGAAGGCAGCCCCCUGGGUCGAUACUGACGCUCAUGCACGAAAGCGUGGGGAGCAAACAGGAUUAGAUACCCUGGUAGUCCACGCCCUAAACGAUGCCAACUAGGUGUUGGGGAAGGAGACUUCCUUAGUACCGUAGCUAACGCGUGAAGUUGGCCGCCUGGGGAGUACGGUCGCAAGAUUAAAACUCAAAUGAAUUGACGG
This 914-nucleotide ribosomal RNA is filed under the name uncultured bacterium. RNAcentral describes it as "bacterial SSU rRNA". It matches the Rfam family "Bacterial small subunit ribosomal RNA", at positions 8 to 916 of the family's 1533-position model. The record is from RNAcentral.